AGUGAACGCUGGCGGUAGGCCUAACACAUGCAAGUCGAACGGCAGCACAGUAAGAGCUUGCUCUUACGGGUGGCGAGUGGCGGACGGGUGAGGAAUACAUCGGAAUCUACUUUUUCGUGGGGGAUAACGUAGGGAAACUUACGCUAAUACCGCAUACGACCUACGGGUGAAAGCAGGGGAUCUUCGGACCUUGCGCGAUUGAAUGAGCCGAUGUCGGAUUAGCUAGUUGGCGGGGUAAAGGCCCACCAAGGCGACGAUCCGCAGCUGGUCUGAGAGGAUGAUCAGCCACACUGGAACUGGGACACGGUCCAGACUCCUACGGGAGGCAGCAGUGGGGAAUAUUGGACAAUGGGCGCAAGCCUGAUCCAGCCAUACCGCGUGGGUGAAGAAGGCCUUCGGGUUGUAAAGCCCUUUUGUUGGGAAAGAAAAGCAGCAGGUUAAUACCCCGCUGUUCUGACGGUACCCAAAGAAUAAGCACCGGCUAACUUCGUG
This 492-nucleotide ribosomal RNA is filed under the name uncultured bacterium. RNAcentral describes it as "partial 16S ribosomal RNA". It matches the Rfam family "Bacterial small subunit ribosomal RNA", at positions 29 to 507 of the family's 1533-position model. The record is from RNAcentral.